Non-coding RNA from Benincasa hispida (wax gourd), 517 nucleotides. The record is from RefSeq and is a predicted model, not a curated record. Lineage: Eukaryota; Viridiplantae; Streptophyta; Magnoliopsida; Cucurbitales; Cucurbitaceae.
CUCCCCCCCGAGAAAACCUAGCCGUCGACGACAACUCAAUUUUUUCGUCGAACCCGAUGCCAACGAGCAGUCAGCAAUUCGAAGCCCCCUCAGCGCGCUGGCUGGUCAGAGCAGAUGCCUCGUCCGCUGUGUUCCACCGAGAGCCCAGAUCCGAAGGCGUCCGCUGCAUUCCGUCGAGAGCCACUCGAUCUGUCUAGUUCCGCUACGAACCGUUCGUAGGCCGCCAACCCAGCCAUCGAUCUCCGUCGGUCACUGCCUCCAUUCACUGCCGUUUGUCGGAUUUUGGCUUGUGGUGAAGUUUUGGAUUCAAGCAUUGAAGAAAUUGUAAGGUCGAAGUGUUGUCAGGCAUUGCGUAGGAUUAAGUUGGGUUUGCAAAUGGAUUUGAGUUUGAAACUAAUUUUGGACCAAGCAACAUUUUGAUUAAGGCAUUUAUUUGAGAGACUGAAGACAAUUUGGAACAAACUACACUUUGAGCUUUAGAUUCAAGUUUUGGAGAAGUUUUGAAUUUAGACGUGAA